Molecule: long non-coding RNA, 584 nt
Organism: Lingula anatina
Lineage: Eukaryota; Metazoa; Brachiopoda; Lingulata; Lingulida; Lingulidae
Source: RefSeq, a predicted model, not a curated record
AGAUGAGGAUGAAGAGGAGGAGGAAGAAGAAGAAAAGACUGAUGAGGCUCCUGAGGAAGAAGAAACAGAGGAAAAAGAAGAAACACAACCAAAAGAUGAAUUAUAGAGAAAAUAAGGACAAUAGAAAAAAAUGGGAGCUACUAAUACCAACAGACUUCCAGGAUUUUUUAUUUGGCCUCGUUAUUAUUUCUGUUCACAACAUAUUCAGACGAGGAGACUUUGGUUUUGAAAUAACUGAAUUUAGGGGGAAACGGUUGUUACUAUUUGUUAAGGUUAUUUUCAUUCUGUGAUCACAACUCAAAACAAAACUAAUGAGGCCGUGAGGAUUCUUUUUAUAUGACCAGUCUUUUCAUGCCUGUAUUUCAAGCUCUGUCGUAGAUGGUUUAGAUAAAUUAAUAGGGGAGCCAGUAUGCAUGUCUUGGAGAAAUUGACAUAAAAAUGGUUCCGCCAUUCAUGUUCUUCGGCGCUGUUAAAACUACUUGUACAGUUGUAAAAUAUCACAGACGUCGAUGUUCUUGGUUGUACAUUUAAAACAAAUGUAAGUUUUUUUUGUCUUUAAAAAUAAAAUUAAUUUAAUAAUAAUU